Molecule: ribosomal RNA, 460 nt
Filed under: uncultured bacterium
Lineage: Bacteria
Description: partial 16S ribosomal RNA
Rfam family: Bacterial small subunit ribosomal RNA
Source: RNAcentral
CCUACGGGAGGCAGCAGUGAGGAAUAUUGGUCAAUGGGCGCGAGCCUGAUCCAGCCAAGUAGCGUGAAGGAUGACUGCCCUACGGGUUGUAAACUUCUUUUAUAAAGGAAUAAAGUGAUGCACGUGUGCCUUUUUGUAUGUACUUUAUGAAUAAGGAUCGGCUAACCCCGUGCCAGCAGCCGCGGUAAUACGGAGGAUCCGAGCGUUAUCCGGAUUUAUUGGGUUUAAAGGGAGCGUAGAUGGGUUGUUAAGUCAGUUGUGAAAGUUUGCGGCUCAACCGUAAAAUUGCAAUUGAUACUGGCAGUCUUGAGUACAGUUGAGGUAGGCGGAAUUCGUGGUGUAGCGGUGAAAUGCUUAGAUAUCACGAAGAACUCCGAUUGCGAAGGCAGCUUACUAAACUGCCACUGACAUUGAUGCUCGAAAGUGUGGGUAUCAAACAGGAUUAGAUACCCUGGUAGUC